CCUACGGGGGGCAGCAGUAGGGAAUAUUGGGCAAUGGACGCAAGUCUGACCCAGCCACGCCACGUGCAGGAAGAUGCCCUCUGGGUUGUAAACUGCUUUUGACUGGGAAGCGGUACCAGCAGAAUAAGCCACGGCUAACUACGUGCCAGCAGCCGCGGUAAUACGUAGGUGGCGAGCGUUAUCCGGAUUUAUUGGGUUUAAAGGGUGCGUAGGCGGCUGAUUAAGUCAGCGGUGAAAGGUAGCAGCUUAACUGUUUUACAGCCGUUGAUACUGGUUAGCUUGAGUUAACAGAAGGCAGAUAGAAUUUCUGGUGUAGCGGUGAAAUGCUUAGAUACCAGAAGGAAUACCGAUUGCGAAGGCAGUCUGCUGCGUACACUGACGCUGAGGCACGAAAGUGCGGGGAUCAAACAGGAUUAGAUACCCUUGUAGUC
RNAcentral lists this ribosomal RNA (431 nucleotides) under uncultured bacterium. Its description in RNAcentral is "partial 16S ribosomal RNA". It matches the Rfam family "Bacterial small subunit ribosomal RNA", at positions 338 to 795 of the family's 1533-position model. The record is from RNAcentral.